AGAAGGAGGAUUAGAUCUCUACAUGCUUGAACAUUCCCAACUUAAGAAAGAAAAAAUAAAAUGCCUUAGAAUCCUGGACUCAGGCCACCAAAGUAGCAUUAUGCCCUCGAGAAAAAUCAAUUUGCAGCUUGGUGUUAUGAAGAGACUUACUGAAUAUCAAUUGGGUGGGUUAUGUUCAACUGAAAAGCAUCUUCCAAGCUAGCUAUCCAUUCCAUUUGGUUCAUACUCAAUUGCCAAUUUCCCCCUUCUCUUCUAUGCUACCUACUCUCUACCCAUGAACAUAAUAGGUACUCCCUUCCCCACCCUACCCCACCUUCAAAUAAAAGAAAGGAAAAGGAAGAAACAAAGUAAGUUAAAAUUAAAUUAAUUUGACUUAGCUACUGCUAGAGUUACUAUUUCAUACACUUCUUUCAUUUUCUGCCAAAUUUCUUGAAAUGUGCUUUAUGUUUACUGCCUCAUCUGUUUCUUCUUAAUCACUCAUUGCCUAACUCCUCCCCCUACCAUUCUAGUGUAAUUUUGUACUACAUGGUUACUAAAUCAAAUGGGACAAUCAAUUGGUGAUGUUUUGUUUUGUUUUUUCUCACCUCAUUCAGGUUGAGCUUUAAUUCCUUUCACUGGGAUUCAUCACUUCCUUAUAAAAUUUCAUUUUCUUGGUUGUUCAGUAGAAGAGUGACAAGAGGACACCACUGCUAUUCUCCAGAUUUUAGAGAAGAACAAUUGAACUUUUUUUUUUAACACAAUGAAGAUAACACCAACAUAUCUUGAACUUGGCAGAUGGAACUAGGCUACUGAUACUCUUCUAGUAAGGUAAGGUAAAAUAUGGGUGUGGAAGAUAGUUUGAAAGAGAAAAUAUAAUAGUGUUAGAAAAGAAGAAUGUAGAGUGCUGAUAUUUAAGAAGCAGGAAGAGGAGAGAAAUUAGUGAAUGGAUAUGAAAGAAGGGAUGUUAAAAACUUUUCCAAGCUGAGAAAAUAUCCUUUUAUUCUCUUUCUACCAUGUCCUCUUCAGGUUUUUUUUUUUGUUUGUUUGUUUGUUUUGAGAUGGAGUCUGUCUCUGUCACUUAAGCUGGAGAUCUCGGCUCACCGCAACCUCUGCCUCCCGGAUUCAAGCAAUUCUCCUGCCUCAGCUUCCUGAAUACCUGGGAUUAUAGGCAUGCACCACCAUGCCUGGAUAAUUUUUGUGUUUUCAGUAGAGACGGGGUUUCGCAUGUUGGCCAAGCUAGUUUCAAACUUCUGACCUCAAGUGACCUCAGCUUCCCAAAGUGCUGGGAUUAUAGACCUGAGCCACCGCGCCCAGCCCUCUUCAGGUUUUUUAAUGCUCUGUUAAGCCAUUAACAUAUUUUAUUUUACAUGUUGAUUUUCUUGUCUCUCUCCUUUCAUAGACCAUCAGUUUUUUGAGGACAAAAACUGUGUUUGGUUCUUCUCUCUCUCCUUAGAGCCUAGCGAAUUGCCUGUAAUAUAAAACAUGCCCAAAAAUUUUACAGGCUUAAUUAAUAAAUGACAGUGUUAUGAAAGAAUUCAGAAAAGAAAAAAUAUUGGAGAAAGAUGCCUUGACAACAUGGAAGAAAGGAGGGAAAAUGAAAUCAGAACAUUUGAUUUGAAAACUCAACUUGAAGGUUAUUGAUGAUGAUAGUAAGAAUAGUUAGUAGAGUGUUGAGAAUAAAGCCAGAUUUCAAGAGGUUGAAACAUCAAACACAAUUUUAUAGUAGGUCGUACGGGGAGACCACUCUGGAGAUAGAUUUCAGAGUAUGUAAGAAAGGAGUCAGAGUGGCAGACAGGAAAGGAAAAAUUACUUGCAUUCCAAUCAUAUGGCUAGAGAAUCCUCCAGCAGAAAGUCUACUCUAAACUGGGUUGAGUCUGCAUUUAGCAAAAGGCAGCAGAUUUAAGUGGAGACAAUGCUGAGCUCAUGAGAUAAAGAGCAAGAUGAGGCUAUAAAUGGCAAAUAGAGCAUGUGAUGAGAACUGGGAAAGAUGUGGAGAAGUUUAGGAAGCAUUUUGUGAGGAGAAAUAAGACAGACAAGCGGUUUAGGAAAAGGCUGCCAUUUUCCAGCACUGAGUCAGAGGUGGUAACUUUAAGUAACUAUAGAAGUCUUCGGGAAUCCACAUCAAGGAAAGAUCUGUUUUCUUCUUAGGAAGGAGUGGCUGAAGCUUUGGGUAUUUUUGUUUGUUUGUUUCCCAUUUUGUUUUAUAAUUUUUUUUUAUUUUACUUUAAGUUCUGGGAUACAUGUGCCGAACAUGCAGUUUUGUUACAUAGGUAUACAUGUGCCAUGGUGGUUUGCUGCACCCAUCAACCUGUCAUGUAGGUUGUAAGCCCUGCAUGUAUUAGGUCUUUGUCCUAAUGCUGUCCCUCCCCUUGCCCCCCAUGCCCGGACAGGCCCCGGUGUGUGAUGUUGCUCUCCCUGUGUCCAUGUGUUCUCAUUGUUCAACUCCCACUUUGCAGGGGCAUGAAUGAAGCUGGAAACCAUCAUCCUCAUCAAAGUAGCACAGGAACAGAAAACCAAACACCGCUUUGGGUAUAUUUUUUAAGCAGCAACAAGAGAUUCAAUCACAAAUGAGUGGGAGAUGAUGAUUCCAAAGAUAAAAGAUAACCUAAUGUUCAAACUCCCAGAAAGGGGUGAAAUUCUGGGAGAAUUAACUUUGUGAAGGAGGGGACAAAGGGGAGCAAUAUUUUGUUCUGAGUAGGAUGAGAUACUAUUAACUUGGGAAAAGAAGUGAACAAGCAUGGUUGUAAGACAGGGAAUGCAAGAUUUUUCUGUUAAAUUAGGAAUUGAUAAUGAAAAAGAUAGAAAAAGAAUUGACGAUUUGAGAAAAGAAGAUACAGUUUAAAAUGACUUCUGCAGGUAUAUGGAAACUUGAAUAAAAAAUAAAUGAGAUAAAUUAGUUUUUUAAAUUAAGAUUACUCUACAGUAUCAAGGGUCCAACUUAGAUCACACAUUUACAUUGAACUUAAUCCACUUCUGUAAUUUUCUCCAACUCUAUCCAAAUUGCUUGUGAGCGGAAUUAGAGAAAAUUGAUCAUUUGGUUGAGCUAGGUUUGGGGAAUUAACUGACAAACUGAAAUAAAUGUGUCAGUUUGCUCGGGUUAGGAAAUGGAAAAUGAUAAGGAAGAUAGAGGUGAAAUAACUGAGCAUGGCAUCCAUUAUAGUUUGCAUAUGAAGUGAAACAAGAAACGGACUUAUAAAAUCAAAUUGGAUUAAGAAACUGAUGUUAAGUGUGAGGUCAAAAGCAAUGUUUAGUAAACAUGAGAGACAGAGAAUGGUAGCAAGCUGUAGUGUCAAGAAAAUUUCAAAAUAUUACAGAUAUCGAAUACUUUGGGAUGCUGAUAAAGUCCAUAAAUUAAAAAGGAAAGUGGAAUAAUGAAAAGGAAUUUGUAGAACAAUCUCUUGAAAACAUUGAAAGGCAGCCAAGAGAAUCCUCAUCCUGCCUGCUCUCUCAGGCUACAGAAUAAAGGGUGAAUGUUACCAUUCUGGAAUCAGACACAGCUAGGUUCAAAUCAUGACUGUUUCUCCUUAUGUAGGUAACCAUAGGCAAACUAGUUUUCUGUGCCUCACUUUUCUUAUCUGUAAAACAGGAAUGUGCCUGCUUCCUAAGUUUGCUGGGAAGAUUACAUGAGAUAAAAGAGUUUAGUACAGUGUAAGCUGAGAGCAGGUGGUUCAGUUGGACUCUGGAGAAGCACUGCUUGUGUUUGAAUCCCAGCUGUGCCACUUACUGGUUUUACAACCUUAGGCAAAUAUUAACCUCUCUAUGCUUCAGUUUUCUUGCAUGAAAAUUGGGAUAAUAAUAGUAACUAACUCAUAUGGUGGUUGUGAAGAUUAAGUGAACCACAUGAAAUUGCUGCUCUUCAAUCAUUUUUGACCUGUAAGAAUAGCAAUUUUAUGUAGUUCAACCUAAUAAUACAUGCACAUUGUUUAAGAUAGAGCAUGGCACAUAGGAAGUCAUCAACAAAAGUUAUCAUGAAAGGAUAGCUACUACUACUAUUACUACUAGUACUUGUACAACUAAUAAAAUAAAAAUUCUUAAUGUGGCAGAGUCAUAAGAGUUUCAGAAUUAACAAUGAGAAGACAGAUCUCAAUUAAGGCAAGGCAGUGAAGAGAAUAUAAUAAAAACCACCAGGAACCACAUAAACACAUUCCAUUAAAUUCUUUGUCAAUACAAUAAUGUUCUACAAUUCACACAGCCUGCCACUUUGUCUUGUUCAACUCAACAUCCCUGCCUGCCUGGGUAACUGUAACUUUCCCCCAGUUUAAUUAUCUCCCUUCAGUUUGUUUUCUGUAAUCCCUGUCACAUAAUUCUCUCAAAUUUAUCUUUCUAAAAGGCCAAUUUUUGUGUCCCCUUUUAUCCUUAGAAAAAUGAAUAAAAUUCAUGCUCCUCAUGUUUGUCUUCAAGAGCUGACGUGAUUUGGCCCAAAAUUAGCCCCAAAGCCUGUAUUCCCCAUAUACACCACCCAAGCCUACUGCUUCAGUUAAACCAGGCUACUCGUAGCUUUGCAAAUAUGAUGUACAUUCCCACCUUGUCCCCAUCUGACUGAAAUAUAUUUCCAGGCUCUUGGUUAGUGCCUAUUCAUAACCUCAAAUUCCAUUUCAAUUUCCCAUUGACUAGUAGACUAUUGAAAUUUCAGUUCCCCAUUUUACUCAUAUCUCUCUCACAUCUGAGCUGCCCAAGUGCUGUGCAAAGAUCUGUAACACUACUUUCAUUUGUAUUUGUGUGUGUAGGUGUGUAUUCUAUUUUCUCAUGAGUCUUCAGGCACCCUUAAAACAGAAAGCAUAUUUGAAACCUCUUUGUAUUCCUCAUUGAACAACCACAGUUGACUUGUAUUACAUUAUUAUAACAUUUAUAGAUGUUUACAACAAUUUUAGAGUGACAAAUAUUGGGAGAACUGAAAACUAAGAAGAUAAAUUUUUGAUACUCCCAUAAGUGAAAUACAUAUUCUCAAUUCAGAUGUGAAAAUUGUUCAUACAGCAAAAUUUAGAAGAAAACAAAGAAAAGUUUACUUCCUACCAUUCUUAGAUCUACACUAGUGUAAAGCCUGUUAGAUUGUCCUUACAGAUAGACGAGAAUCCAAAGAACAGAAUCCAAAGGACCUUAAUAAAUUCUAUUACCUAGAGUAUAAAUAAAUUUUAUUAUUUCGAAUGUAAAUAGAAGCUUAUAUUCUAUUACUUAGAAUAUAAAUAAAUUAUUUAAAAUAUGGAUAGAACCUUAUAUUCUAUUAUUACUUAGAAUAUAAGGCUACGCGUCUAUAAUUGACUGUGGAGGAAACAUCUUAGAAAGCAUGUAGAUUUUUUUCUAAUGAGCCCUGUGGUUAAGUUUGGAAAUACUUUAGCUAUAUGCAAAAUCAAUGGGAAAUUACCUCACUGGAAUUUUUUAAAAUUUAUAUGACUACAACUUUAAGAAUGAUUCCUAAAAUUUCAAGAUAAAUAAAAUUUUAUUGCUUAAAUCUUCUAUUUUGAAAAUGGGGCCCACUAAGAUUAAGUCUCAAGUUCAAAGUUAAGGCAUAGACUUCCAACUCUUUAUUCUAUAAUAGUAAUUUUGUAAGUCUAAAAAUUGGUGAAUUACUACAUAAGCAUUGUGUGUUCACAUAUAAAGUGAAAAAAUAGCAAAGGAGUUUUAAAAAAAAUUUAAUGAGAUCACUCUCUUCCUCUCCCUUGUAACUCAACUCAUACAUAGGUGAUUGCAUAGUGUACCAUAUACUUGUCUGCAUAUAUUGGUAGAAGAUAUGUUAAGCUGCUAUAACAAAGAUUCUCCAAUAAAAUAGUUUAAAUUAAAUAGAUAAUUUUCCCUUUUAUUCCAGUUUGAGUAGUCCAGGCUGGAGCAGUGAUUGUGCUACAAGUCAUCACUCAGAGGUCCAAAUUCCUCCCAUGUUCAUGCUCUGUUAUCUCAUAGGGUGUUUUCUCCCUUUGCAUAUUUGGACCUAACUCACAAUCAAGUUAGUGUUCCAGUUCAUGAUGAGGGAAAAGAGUGGAAACCCAGGGCUGGCAGAUUGUCUUCAGUUGGAAAUCACAAAAUUUGCAGACAUCUCUUCUGAUGAUAUCAGAAUGGUCCAAACUUAGUGAUAUGAUCAAAAUUAGCUGCAAGAAAAAUUGAAAAUGGAAACUAUCUGAGCAAUCAUGUGCUCCACUUAUACUUGGAUGAUUCUAGUAAUAAAAAAAAGGAUGGAAAAAGAAAAACCAAGGAACAAUUGAUAGGUUUUACCACAGGUGUUUACACACAUGUAUUCAUUUGUUUGUUAAUUUAUUCACUCGACAAUUCCACAAAUAAUCAAUGAGCAUCAUAUACACGGUAGAUACUGCCUGUGAUGCAAACUUGUCCCAGCCAUGAAACUGCUUAUAGUGUAAUGGAAAAAAUAUGAAAAUGUAAUGAGUCUAUGAUGACGGUAGUCAUAAUUGGUAAGAGAAUAUUAGGUCCAAACUUUAGUCCACAGAGGAUUCUUGAUGCCUGCAACACUAUAUGUAUUCAUUUAUCUCCUGUCUACAAAUAUUCACAUAAAAAUUAAGUAAAGUGAUUUUACUUACCCAAAUAAGAGCUUAUUACAAGAUAUUUGUAUUUGUAACCAAAUCCGGUUGGAAACAUUCUAGGAAGAAGUCUUAAUUCAUAAAUAUUUUGAGAAACUCUUUAGUUUUUGUCUUAAAUAUUUGUCAUAAAUAUUUAUUUAUUUGUCUUAAAUAUUUAGUACUAUUGAUGCAGGGUCUCAUAUAUACCACUUCAAAAUGACAUUUGUAGUCCCUUCCCCUAUACUGUCUUUAGGUAAGAGUUAAACACAGUAGAAGGGAGUGUCUCUUCUCCAUUCCCAUAUUCUUCAGGGUUGUGUUCUGAAAUGUGGGAUACUCAACUCAGUGCCAACCUAAACUAUUGCUGUGAGUUGUAAAGUAAGUAAGACAAGUCCCCAGUUGUACAUUUCACCCUAAAAUAAUUCAUUUUCUCCAAACAUUGUGAUCACUAUCUGCCAUCACCCCUCAAUCAAAAAGAAGACUUGCCUAUUUCUUUCACUAUCUUUUUUUUUUUUUUUGGUCUCUUUAGAUUCCAAAAUGACUUAAAUGUUUUCCAAAAGCAAUCAAACUGGCAAAGAAUUCUUCAGAAAUGAAGGCAUAAUUCUUCCGUCAGCAUGCUCCCCAAAUCAUUGAAAAUACCGAUGACUCUAUGGCACAGCACAGAGCAUUGCAACUAUCUUUAAAGGGCAAAGCUUCUCACUCUCACUCAUUCCCACCACCACCUUCUUGAAGAAACAGAAGCUGAAAGUUUCAAAUAUUGUUAUUUUUCUCACCCACCUCCCAAAAUAAGCACAUCGUUGUGCAUCAGGUUAUAGAAAGCCUCAUAUCCUCAAAAUGAAAUAGACAGGAAAUCUCUUGAUUCUCCCAUGAGGACACAUCAGAAUCAAGCACAAUAUAAAGAGCUUGGGUUGCUACUUGUGAUGUUGAUCAUCAGGUUAGUGCAGUAAAAUCCAACAUGGGAAACUUAUCAUAUAAUGAGUAAACUAGGACAGUGUUAAAGGAUAUUUAGCAAAGCAGUUCUAAUUAACUUUCAGCUAUUUCCAUUUGCUUUAUAUAUUACAUAUUAUAUAUAUAAUAUAUUUUAAGUCAGUAAUGCAUAAUGAAGACAGACGCAGUAGCUCAUGCCUGUAAUCUCAGCAGUUUGGGAGGCCACAGCACGAGGAUCACUUAAGCCCAAUAGUUUGAGACCAACCUGGGUGACACAGUGAGGCCCCCAUCUCUAAAAAAAAAAAAAAAAAGAAUGCAUAAUAACAUUUUAUAUGCUAGUGAUUACAAUUUUAGGCAUCAACUAUACCAUUAAUAUUUAUUGAGUACCUACUAUUUGCCAUAAAUCAGACAAAUACCUGGAAAUACAAUGGUUAAAAAGGAAGGCAUGCUUUUUUAAUUCAUAUAAUCAUUGUAAAAUGAGUCAGUUAUGGAAUGGUUUAUUGUUUAUUACAAAUAAUUAAUAGGGAGGAGAGAGGGAGCAUGAUGACAGGUUGAUCAACAGGUAUAAAGUUAUUAUCAUUAGAUAAGAGGAAUACAUUCUGAUGUAUUGCACAAUAGGGUGACUAUGGUUAACAGCAAAAUAUUGUAUAUUACAAAAUAGCUAGAAAAGAGGCUUAUGAAUGUUCUCAUCACAAAAAAAUGAUAAACACAUGAGGUGAUGGACACACUAAAUACUAUGAUUGGAUCAUUAUAUAACACAAAUAUGUAUGGAAACAUCAAAUUGUACCCCAUGGAUAAGUACAAUUACAAUAUGUCCAUUAGAAAAUAAAUAUAUUUUCAAAAAAAUCUUAAAAUGAUUAAUGUAUUCUCUACUCAAAAAAGUUUAUUCUUAUAAUAAUAACUAAAAUUAGUAUGCUCCUGAUGACAGCAGCUUUCUUAUUUUAUCUAACAGUUCUUCAUGCUUCAAGAUUCCUAAACUUGCUUCUUAUCAGCUCUAUUGAGCUAUAAUUUACUUACAAUAAAAUUCACCUAUUUCAAGUGUUAGAUGAGUUUUGACAAAUGUACAUGCCCCUGUAACCACCACCAUAAUCACUUUCAGUUUAUCUUAAAAGAACUCAUAUCUGGACUGCUUAAUUGAAGGGUACACAGUCAUGACUAUGGAGCACUUAGACAUCAGCACUCCCUCCUAAGGUGCUAAGUAGAGUCAUUAUGCAAAGUGAAUAACUCUAAGGGUGAGGAUAUCCUCAACAUCCUCACUCCUACUUGUGGGUUGAAAAUUAGGCAUAAGAAGGCCAAUUGCCAGAUAAUGCUGUUGCUCUGAGGUUUGUGUACAAACUGAAAGGUUGAAGUGUACCCUUUCAGCACCAGGAUUCAUUUCCAGCAGAUCCAUUCUCCUCUCUGUGGCUUACACCAGCCAAAGCAACAUUGCUACAAGCUCUUAGCAUUCUUCUUCACGCUCACCCCGUAGACAAGCAUAUUGUCCUGUCUGGAGUGUCCUCUUCACCGACACAUUCCAAGCUGCUUUGGCUUGGGAGAAUCUAAACUUGGGCCUGAUGACAGAUAACUGAAAUCUUUUACGAGAACUCCAAAAAGGAAAAAAAAAAAAAAAAGAGGAAAGGAACUAGAGCUGCACGUCAAGUCACACUGUGUUGUCAGCUACUUUAGCUGACUGAGAAAUACAAUUCUUUGGAAUGGAAGAAGUUUCAGUGAUAACCUUGUUGGGAAAUGAUAUCAAAGGACAAAGGUGUCAUUUUUAAAUGUGUAACUUAGUACUAUCAGCACUGUUAAUUUCUCUGGCCACUUUAACUCUUAAAACUGCUGCAGUGUGAGUGUGUGAGUAUCACUUAUGCACAAGACCAUUUUAUCAGUAAGGUACAAGAUGACAUAUUCAUAGAAUAAGCACAUUGCCUAUAUAGAAAAUAUGUAAUAUAUUGUUUAGGCUUCAGCAAUGUUGAGGUAAAAGUAUUUAUUAAAAGGACAUACUAGCUUCGUUGCCUUAAAUUAAGUAUUAAUCUUUGGUCCUCUUGGCCCUACCGUUUUCAUUUGAGAUGCCCAGUUUGUAUUUGGAGUUUAUAAUCACUUACAAGAUAUUUAGUGAUAGUUCUAAAACAAGCAGGUGAUUUUAAUUUAGUAACUGUUCAAUUUAGUAAUUUAGUAACUGUGACACAACUAGCAGCCUUAGUGGAAGUUUGAAAUAACGUACAAAGUUAAUGCUUAUGAACAGGUAAAAAAUGAAUGAUUAAUGCCUAAUAUAUCUAGAUAAUUGAUCAAAGGGGUGUGUGUGUGUGUGUAGAUUUUUAUCCAUCCAGUUGUUAACAUGUUUCUCUAUUUUUCUUUAUAUACUCAAAAUGUGUUUACUGCUUGGUGUUAUUUCUUUAAUAUCUGAAAAUUUAAGUGACAAAAUGAACUAUAUCAUGUAUCAAAAUAUUUUAAUGCUUGAUUUACAUUUCAAGGUUU
RNAcentral lists this long non-coding RNA (9863 nucleotides) under Homo sapiens (human). Its description in RNAcentral is "HSALNT0087584". The record is from RNAcentral. Lineage: Eukaryota; Metazoa; Chordata; Mammalia; Primates; Hominidae.